RNAcentral lists this ribosomal RNA (403 nucleotides) under uncultured bacterium. Its description in RNAcentral is "partial 16S ribosomal RNA". It matches the Rfam family "Bacterial small subunit ribosomal RNA", at positions 30 to 526 of the family's 1533-position model. The record is from RNAcentral.
AUUGAACGCUAGCGGGAUGCCUUACACAUGCAAGUCGAGCGAGAGGAGGAUGGGUGAGUAAUGUAUGGGGACUGCCCGAUAGAGGGGGAUAACACCAGGAAAAGGUAGUGAAUACCGCAUACUAUCGGAUAACCCAUAUGGGAUUAGCUAGUAGGUGAGGUAAUGGGUCACCUAGGCGACGAUCCCUAGCUGGUCUGAGAGGAUGAUCAGCCACACUGGGACUGAGACACGGCCCAGUAUCCUACGGAGGCAGCAGUGGGGAAUAUUGCGCAAUGGGCGCAAGCCUGAUGCAGCCAUGCCGCGUGUAUGAAGAAGGCCCUAGGGUUGUAAAGUACUUUCAGUCGGGAGGCGUUACCGACAGAAGAAGCACCGGCUAACUCCGUGCCAGCAGCCGCGGUAAUAC